CUUCUAUAUGGACAGUUUAAAUGGGAAGGAAUGUCCCACUAUUAAGGUGCCGACAUAUACUAUUUUCUCUCUCGUCCCAGAUACCUGGUUCACGUUGCGCAUGCUUGAGAAUUCCCCAUGAUAUUAAUAGAGGGGGAAGAAUGAGGGGAAUAAUUUUGUGGUUAUGAUUCUGUUUACAAAUAUAUUUAUUAUUGUAAUUCAGAAAAACAAUUAUAAAUUUUAAAAAACUUUUGUUUUUAUUUAAAUAAUAUUCUUUUUCCAACAAUCAGUUAUUGAAAAAUGGUGAAGUUGUGUUAUUUAUGUGAUAUAAAAGCGUCGAGAGCUGACAAUAUUUCUUUGCAUCAUGGCUAAAUGCUUGUGGAUUAACUGAAAAUGAUGAUGUAAAAAGAACUUGCAUAUGUUCCAGACAUUUCAAAGCUGAUGAUAUUUGUCAAUAAAAAAUUUUUGGAGUUGUUAAAUCUUCUAUAAAACGUAAUGCAGUUCCUACACUUUAUUUAAAAAAUCCACUCAGUAUUGAUAAAACUAGUAAAUUACCACCAAACACGCCGCUAUCGGAAGUAUUUGAUGAGAAUGGAGUCAGCAAUCAAUCGUCAUCAUGUUUUUCUGAGAAUAAUAUUGUCAACCAAUAUAAUGUACUCAAUACUUUGCAAAAAAGUCCAAAAAAAUGUUUUGAAGUAGACAAUACUGAAUGUCAAACCUCAAAUAAUAGUAGCAUUAAUUUUUGAGCCUCUUGUAACCAAUCUGAUUUAAAUGAAUUUACAGAAAAUGCAAAAUCAAAUCCUAUCAGCGAAGACGAAAAUACUGUUCCACAUGAAAUUGAUUCCCCAAAUCAAUUUCGAAAGUGUAAAUUUUACGAGCCUCGUCAUGUUAGUGAAAUUUCAAUAUCAGAUUUUGCGACGCCUAAAAGAAGUAAAAGAACCCUUUCUUUAAUAAAAGAGACUGAUAAAAAAAAAUCGGAUAAAAUAAAGCAGCUACAGAAGUAAACGAGGAACUUCGAGAAAAAAAUUUCAUCUUUGCAAGAUUUAAUAAAUCAUCUUAAGGAAAACCGUAUGUUAACUGAUGAGAGUGGUGAUGCUCUAAUGGUAUAGUAUAUUCUAACUAAUAUAAAUUGUAUAAUUAUAAAAUUGUAAAUAUUUUACACAAAUGUUAUGGAUCACGAAUUUUACUAAUAAUUUAGUUUAUUGAUGUUUUAUGAUAAGGUAUUUAUCAUCAAAUAUUUGUAGCAAUUGUACAUAUUUACUUUAUUUUUCUUUUCUCAGCGGAUUUCGGUAUAAAAAUUUUAACUAAUAUUAAAUAUUUCGCUUAUCAAU
Molecule: long non-coding RNA, 1310 nt
Organism: Cotesia glomerata
Lineage: Eukaryota; Metazoa; Arthropoda; Insecta; Hymenoptera; Braconidae
Exons: 5
Source: RefSeq, a predicted model, not a curated record